Peromyscus eremicus (cactus mouse) is the source of this 1255-nucleotide long non-coding RNA. RefSeq lists it as uncharacterized. The record is from RefSeq and is a predicted model, not a curated record. NCBI's taxonomy places the organism in Eukaryota, Metazoa, Chordata, Mammalia, Rodentia, Cricetidae. The transcript has 3 exons.
UUCUUCCCCUAAGUUCUUCUGGCGUAUGGAUGUCCUAAUUUUACCACUUCCAAGAGCAAAACUUCUCCCCCGGACUGGUGAUUGAUACACUUUAACCAUCUUAUCCCUUUGUCCCCAGCAUCUGUACAAAGCUGCCUUUGUUAGUACUCAAGAGCGCCUGUUCCUGUGGGCAACCUGAACCGUUCUUCUAGACUUCUCAGGAAAAACAAGACUUACUGCCUUAACUAUUGUUCACCGUUGCGGCUGCUGUUUUGAGACAGGGUUUGGGGUGUAUCAGGUUGGCCUGGAACCACUAUGUAGUUGACAUGACCUUGAAAUCCUGAUCUUCCUGCUUCCAAAGCCUGGGCCUGCUGGAGAGCUCGCCAUCCCCAGCACCUUCCCAUCCUCCCUACCACUGUUUUAUGAUGUGAUGGUAAACUCGGCAACCUUAUGCCUCAGCCUCCAGAGCAGCUGGAACUACAGGCAUCCCCACCGUACUCUGCUUGAUCUCAACUUCUGCUGCUGCUGAAGAGCUGUUCCUGCAAGCUGGGCAAACAUGCUGUCACGGGAGCCCUUAAACAAAGAAGGGAAGAAGCCCAGGACCAAAGCACCGAAGAUUCAGAGUCCUGUUACUUCUGGUAUCCUGCACCACAAACGCUGACAUUGCUCUGAAGAAACAGCACACUAAGAAAAACAAGGAGGCUGCAGGAUAUGCUAAACUCAUGAUGGCCAAGAUAAUGAAGGACAGCCAGGCAGUGGUGGUGCACGCCUUUAAUCCCAGCACUUGGGAGGCAGAGGCAGGUGGAUCUCUCUGAGUUCGAGGCCAGCCUGGUCUACAUAGGGAGUUCCAGGACAGCCAGGGCAACAAAGAGAAACCCUGUAUUGGAAAAAGAAAAAGAGAGAGAGACAGAGAGACAGAGAGACAGAGAGAGACAGAGGAGGGGGGAAUAUGAAUUAAGAUAAACACCAGGAACAGAUUGCUAAGAGAUGUAGGCUAUCCUCACUGGGAGCUUCCACUUCUAACUCUGAGUUCAGUCAAAAGUAAGUCCUUGAGAAUACAUAUUAAAAAGAGUGGCAAAUAACGACCAGAACUUGGGAAAAAAGAGUGAGAACUAAAUUAAGUAAAGAAGGUUUUCCCACUUUUCCUACUCAGAUAUCUUUUUGGAGCAAAAUCUCUGUCCUUACUAUAGCCUUACCUUCCAAUUACUUCUUGUUCCUGCUUUCCUCUUCAUCAUCUGAACCACACUUUCUGAAAUAUAUCAAGUUUUGUCCAAAA